Molecule: ribosomal RNA, 425 nt
Filed under: uncultured bacterium
Lineage: Bacteria
Description: partial 16S ribosomal RNA
Rfam family: Bacterial small subunit ribosomal RNA
Source: RNAcentral
GAAUAUUGGUCAAUGGGGGGAACCCUGAUCCAGCCAUGCCGCGUGUGUGAAGAAGGCCUUUUGGUUGUAAAGCACUUUACGCGAGGAGGAGGAGCUCUUGGUUAAUACCCAAGAUGCUUGGACGUUACUCGCAGACUACGCACCGCCUAACUCUGCGCCAUCAGCCCCGGUAAUACAGAGGGUGCAAGCGUUAAUCGGAGUGACUGGGCGUAAAGCGCGCGUAGGUGGACAAUUAAGUCAAAUGUGAAAUCCCCGAGCUUAACUUGGGAAUUGCAUUCGAUACUGGUGGGCUAGAGUAUGGGAGAGGAUGGUAGAAUUUCAGGUGUAGCGGUGAAAUGCGUAGAGAUCUAGAGGAAUACCGAUGGCGAAGGCAGCCAUCUGGCCUAAUACUGACACUGAGGUGCGAAAGCAUGGGGAGCAAACAG